This 639-nucleotide long non-coding RNA is filed under the name Homo sapiens (human). RNAcentral's name for it is "non-protein coding lnc-NDST4-6:1". Lineage: Eukaryota; Metazoa; Chordata; Mammalia; Primates; Hominidae. The record is from RNAcentral.
AUGGCCAUAUUUCAGCAAAUGAGAGCCAAUGGGGGCAAGUUGGUUAAGGACAUCAACAGAUACAAUCCUGGCCACCCUGGAACACUACAUGGAGACGCAGGCCAAGGAGAAUGCCUAUGAUCUAGAAGACAACCUGGCUGUCCUAAAGCUGUACCAGUUCAACCUAGCAUUUUUUCAGACCACGGUCACUGCCCAGAUCCUGCUGAAGGCCCUCAACACCUGCCGCACACCAACUUCACCCUGUCCACGUGCAUGAUCCACCAGCACAACAAGAAGAGCAGGCAAUCCAACAGAUUUUGCACCUCGGGGACUUGCUGGAGACUUGCCACUUCCAGGCCUUCUGGCAAGGAAAACAUGGUCCUGUUGGAAGGUAUAACCGGCUUUGAAGACUCUGUCUGAAAGUUUAUCUGCCAUGUCAUGGGUAUCACUUACCAGCACAUGGGAUGCUGGCUGCUUGGUAAAAUGUUUGGUGAUCUGUUAGCCAGCCAGCUAAAGGUGUAGAUGAGCAAAUAUGGCUGGAGCGCUAACGAGUCAGGGCCGAUCUUCAUCUGUAACCAGGAAGAGAGCAUUAAACCCUAGAAUACUCUAGAGAAGAUUGACUUUGACAGUGUGUCCAGCAUCAUCGCCUCCUCCCAGUAA